GACGAACGCUGGCGGCGUGCUUAACACAUGCGAGUCGAACGGAAAGGCCCUGCUUUUGUGGGGUGCUCGAGUGGCGAACGGGUGAGUAACACGUGAGUAACCUGCCCUUGACUUUGGGAUAACUUCAGGAAACUGGGGCUAAUACCGGAUAGGAGCUCCUGCUGCAUGGUGGGGGUUGGAAAGUUUCGGCGGUUGGGGAUGGACUCGCGGCUUAUCAGCUUGUUGGUGGGGUAGUGGCUUACCAAGGCUUUGACGGGUAGCCGGCCUGAGAGGGUGACCGGCCACAUUGGGACUGAGAUACGGCCCAGACUCCUACGGGAGGCAGCAGUGGGGAAUAUUGCACAAUGGGCGGAAGCCUGAUGCAGCAACGCCGCGUGCGGGAUGACGGCCUUCGGGUUGUAAACCGCUUUCGCCUCUGACGAAGCGUGAGUGACGGUAAUGGGUAAAGAAGCACCGGCUAACUACGUG
This 468-nucleotide ribosomal RNA is filed under the name uncultured bacterium. Its description in RNAcentral is "partial 16S ribosomal RNA". It matches the Rfam family "Bacterial small subunit ribosomal RNA", at positions 28 to 507 of the family's 1533-position model. The record is from RNAcentral.